UGGGGAAUAUUGCACAAUGGGCGCAAGCCUGAUGCAGCCAUGCCGCGUGUAUGAGGAAGGCCUUCGGGUUGUAAAGUACUUUCAGCGGGGAGGAAGGGAGUAAAGUUAAUACCUUUGCUCAUUGACGUUACCCGCAGAAGAAGCACCGGCUAACUCCGUGCCAGCAGCCGCGGUAAUACGGAGGGUGCAAGCGUUAAUCGGAAUUACUGGGCGUAAAGCGCACGCAGGCGGUUUGUUAAGUCAGAUGUGAAAUCCCCGGGCUCAACCUGGGAACUGCAUCUGAUACUGGCAAGCUUGAGUCUCGUAGAGGGGGGUAGAAUUCCAGGUGUAGCGGUGAAAUGCGUAGAGAUCUGGAGGAAUACCGGUGGCGAAGGCGGCCCCCUGGACGAAGACUGACGCUCAGGUGCGAAAGCGUGGGGAGCAAACAGG
Molecule: ribosomal RNA, 429 nt
Filed under: Chloroflexota bacterium
Lineage: Bacteria; Bacillati; Chloroflexota
Description: Chloroflexi bacterium partial 16S ribosomal RNA
Rfam family: Bacterial small subunit ribosomal RNA
Source: RNAcentral